CCAGCGGGGUCCCUCUGACGUCUGUGACACCGUUAGACGUUUCCCAAGCGUGUGUCCCCGGAUCCUUCUAACACUGGGAGGGAAGCAGGAUGGAUGGGGAAACUGAGACCCACGGUGAGGCGUCUUGCAUGACACUCCCAGGGCUGACGCAGACCAGAUUGUGGGUUCCGGCACGGAGUCUCCACUACUGUCAUCUUUGGGACCUUCUAAGUCUUCAGGCCCCUCGGGAAGCUCCAGCGCCACUCUGGCCAUGCGGUGCCAUGUGGGUGGGCCCAGGCCUCUCCUGUCACGGGAAUACAGGCUUCACACUUUUCCCAGCUCUAUCCAUCUAAGCCCUGCCAGGAGGGGGUCUGAUACCUACGGUGCUCCUGGGUUCUGCCACCUCCCGUGCAGGUGAACCUUCCGGAGCCCUUGACCCAGAGAAGCGGCUAUACUUGGAGCGGGAGGCAGAGGGGAGAGAUUGGGGUUUAUUCAGGGCACUCCCCUUUAUGGUGAGUAAUUGUUACUUGCUUUGCCUCCAGGAGGUGGGGGACCCUUCUCACUUCACCAGUCCUGGGGAACCCCGUGUGAGAAAAACUAGAGGUACAAAUGCACCCACAGCAAACCAGAGGGUGUGGUUUGUACUGCCCCACCUUGGUUCACCGUUCAAAAGGCUUCUUGGAAAACCCCUCCCUGGGUGCAUCCAAGUGUUUGUUUACAGCUCAUUAACUACUUGAUGGAAAGGUUGGGGUGGGGGAUAUAUUGACAGAAAAUCAAUCAGAAAUGAAGAUUAACGAUCUCCAAAAUAUUCCUGUGGGUCCAUAGAGAAAUGGGACUUGAGUUCUAAAGCCAGGGUCUGAUAAACUAAGAUUUUAUUUCUCCAUUUGCCAUUGCACAGAGAGAGGCCACCAGGAAUCGGGCUGUGAGGAUUCCCCACACCUGCAGGGAAUUUGAGAUGGGCUCCAAGGGAAGCUUUUAGCUGUAAGGCCUCUUCCUCCUGGCCUUUGUUGCUGUCAGCAGGCAGAGAAUAGAGAAGAAAGUCGGGUUGGUUCACUCUACCACCACCGUGAGACUAGGCAAGCUGGGACCAGGACAGCGUCCCAUGGGUGCUUUCGCUACCUCCCACGCCUCUGUUCCUGUUUUAUUCACUGGAUGAGAUCAGGCUUCCCAAGUGGAACUGGAAGGGAAAGGCAGGCAGGUAUUUUCAGAUAAGCCCAUGGGAGCUAGAGGUCAGAGAACAGCUGGAAGAUGCCUCACGCCAGUCCCAGGGUGGCUCUGGAAUGGCACUGGCCACGGUUGGUCCAAUAACAAGGUGGAGAGGAGCCCAGGCUUGGUCCCUGCCCCCCAGUUCUGCUAGCUGGCUUCUGUCUUCGUCUUCCCUCUUUUCCUGUGACUGCAGUUCAGGCAGGGUACAGUGGUGCUUUAAGUUUCUGCCCCUCACCCUGAACACAGCUGCGUAAGACCCUCCAGAGGUCCUCCAGUCUGGGGCAAUGUGUCUCUACUGAAUCCGGCCCCAGGCUGAUUGGGUUGCCUGGGAGAAUUCCCAGAUCCCCCUGCUGCAGAGGCCUGUUUGGGGCCCUGCACUUCUUUGGCAGGGCUGGAUUUCCCAGGCUUAGGGGCUGGCUCCCCAGGUGCACCACACUUCAGUGUGCCCCCAAGAUCUGGCCGCCUCCCCUAGGUACUGUCAUUUAAAUCUGGCUCACCUCUCCCUGACUGUUGAGGGACUUUUCUGCUUUCCAUCCUGCAGAGAUCCUUGAGACUAAGAAGCUGAACAGAGUCUGGCUGCCUGUUUAAAAUGGAGAGAAAGAAAACAGCAAGGGAGAACCCCAGCGUUUGGAUUGCAGUCUUCACAUCUUGCCUCAUGGGGAUCCACAUGGUGAACGUGAACACAGUGCUGAGGCUUGUGUGGAGUCUGGAGUCCAUGAGGCUGGAGUCCCCAGGGCAGAAGGUGGACCACUGGAGCUCUCAGGCAUGGGAGUGGCUCACAGCCAUCACCUUUGAAAUCUAUUCUCUCGAGACAUUGGUGAGCCUGGGCUGCGAGGGUCUUCUGGAGACACCCUCCUGCGCUUAACACUGAUGUCGCUGACCGGGAAACUCUGGAAGAGCACCAUGAGCUUUCAAGGCUGGAAGAGGUUUCAGAUGGUCUACACUGGGGUAUCUACUGGUGGCACUUAGCAUUACUGACAUUUGAGGCUGACUACUUCUUUGUCAGGCGACUGACUUGUGUGUUAUGGAAUAUCUAGUAGCAUCCCUGCCUCUGCUCUCUAGAUGCCAGCAGCAUGCACACCUCCUCCCGUGUUGUGACAACCAGAUAUGUCUGUAGACAUUGUCACAUGUUGUGGAAGAAAAAAGUCACUCCCAGUGAGACCCAUGACUCUACACUAAUCUUCUUUAACAAAGGCACAAACCAAUACCAAGAAAUAGGAUAUGGCAUAAGCAACAUCAUUGAAGGCUAACAAGCAGAGGGCCCAAAUGCUUGGAUUCUGGAAUUAGCCGCAUCCAGACUCAAAUUCCACCUCUACUACUCACUAGUUCUUCUGUGAUCAGAGACAAGUAACCUCUCCUGGCCUUAGUUCGCCCCUCUAUUAAAUGUGCAUAUUAAUUUUACUACCUGUAUGGGUUGCCAUAUUCAAUAAGAUGAUGCACAUGAAGAGUUAACAAAUUGCCCGACAUCGUGGAAGAGCUCAGUUAAUAUCUGUGAAUAUCAGAAUCAGAAGAUAGUUCUGGACUUUUCUACUGAUUAGAAAUAGAAAGGCCUUCAGAAGCAGGGUGAGCAAACAGAAUUGCCAGUGCUCAGCCUCGGAGAGGAAGGCAGAAUCAAGAAUGGCCAAAUGUUUGGGGACAGUUGAUGUCAUAACGCAGGAGCAUCCAGAUGACAAGUGAGGGAAUUAACUCUGAGGAGACAGAGGGAACAGCAUAAGUAGAAAGGACUUUAGGGUUUCUCCCCUCAUGGUUUCAACCAUUCUGGAUGUGUCACAAGUCAGCUUGCACUUCAUCUUAGGUUUGGCUUUGUCUACAACGCUGUGUCACUUCCUGGGGCACCCACAUAGAGGAUGCUCAUUUGGUGGUUGCCAGAGUGAGUAUUUGUGCCCCCGCAAAUGUUCAUAUGUUGAAUCCUAACUUCCAAAGUGAUGGGACUAGGAGGUGGGGACUUUGGGAGGUGGUGAGAUCAUAAGGGUGGAGCCCUCAUGAAUGGGGUUAGUGCCCUUAACAAAGAGAACCCAGAGAGCUGCCUUGCCCUUUCCACCAUGGGAAGACACAGGAGAAAAUGGCCCUGUAGGAACCAGGAAUGAGCCCUCUCCAGACUCUGAAUCUGCCGGCACCUUGACCUUGGACUUCCCAGCCUUCAGAACUGUAAGAAGUAAAUUUCUGUUGUUUAUAAAUCUCCCUAUUCUCUUACAGCAUCCCCAGUGGGUGAAGAUAGUGGAUAUAUUCGAGCUAGACUUUUUUGGUUGUGGAGGGUAGAGAUUUAUUUUGGAAUAAAAGGUGUUUGUCAAAUCACUUUUGGAUUGGAUUGGAAUUGAAAUCCGUCAGGGAUCUCUCUCUCUCUCUCUCUGCAGAUGCCCUCCAGCCCAGCCCUCUCCUUCUCCCGACAGCCUUCUUCAUAAUGUGUGUUCUCUAUCACGCCAGGGUAGUGUGGUUUUGAGUUGACUCCACCUUCUGCCUCACUGGCUCCAUCUGUCACUCUUCUCUAAUUGAAAAUCGUGAGAGGGCUCGGCUUCCCUCUCCAACACCAGGCCUUAACAGGUCACUGUCCCUCCCAAGGUGUGGCUGCCCCUUGGUUGGGUGCCCGCCUCUGGUCCAGUCAGGUGGAUUCCAGGGUGUCCUGGCAAUGCACACGCAGUGUGGGCAGCAGCUGCAUGGCUUUGGCCAUUUCCCCUUGGAUGGGCUGUGAAGGUGUCCUCCAUCAUUGACAUCUCCAGCACAGGCUGAUGUGGUUGCCUGGGAAAAUGAGCACAGUCUCCCAGGCAGGUCCCUCAGAGGGUCUGUGUCUCUGCUGCCUUCCUUUAUGGCUGUCCUCUCCCAACCCCUGUGUCUGCAGGGAGAGGGCUCUGAACCUCUCAGAAUCUGGGGACUAUGUCAGGGGGCAAGGAGGGCAUCCAAAGGCCUUGCCUGUGCUCUUGGAGACUGCACAUCCUUAGUUGGGAUGAAGCCGGUGACAUCCCAGCAUUGAACUGGCCUUUGGGCAGAGUUCCUGGUAUCUCCAACUACAGCUGCUUCUUCUUCCAUCCCUGGAAAUGUGGGAAAUGCACAGGCUUCCACAAGGCCUCUGGGGCCACUUCCUUGUGGGUGGGAGCCAGCUCAGGCAGCCAUCACCCAAAGCCUCACUUUUGGUUUUUUCCACCUCUAGCAGGAAUGGCUGAAUCCCACUCAUACUUGGCUUACUUCAAGUGCUGCAUCCCUGGAAGCAACUCCAGCACUCCUGGCUUGAUCACAGAGCCCAGGGGUGUUCUGCUAUCACAGUGUUUGUGGUUGUCUGUACCAUGGCUCAGUGUUGGCUACCUCUCCCGACCAGGCCAUCCUGAGCCUGAUGGAGAUUUCCUGGCUGCCUGAUGGCAGGCUGGGCCAUGUGCCGUGUUUCAGACAAUGAAAUGUGGGUGAAAGAGACAUGUGCGACUUUGUUUUUUGAAAAUUUUAAUUAAUUUAUUUAUUUAUAAUUUUUUUAGAGACAGGGUCUCACUGUGUCA
Non-coding RNA from Macaca mulatta (Rhesus monkey), 4667 nucleotides. The record is from RefSeq and is a predicted model, not a curated record. Lineage: Eukaryota; Metazoa; Chordata; Mammalia; Primates; Cercopithecidae.